AGGAUUGCACUGAUCCUAUGGGAAGGGCUACUACUACAACAGGGGGUUUCUUGGAGCCAAUUAAAUAGGUUGAAAAUACUUAUUUGCCCAUAACUAAUCCUGGCUGAAUUACCUGCUUAUCCCUUACUGCUACGCCUGUAGGCUGUCCCCUGGUUUUGAGGUUUUUUACGGAGAAUUACUAAGGUCGUGUAUUAUUGUGACAGAGGACGUAGAUGAGGCGAGGCGCGGCGCCUGGCUAAAUAACUACGUAAUGCUAGGCGUGCCUGAGGUGAGGAUGGAGUAAAAGAGUUGCAACGCAAGAGGUGCUCAAUGACAACCGGUAUUUCAUAUAUAGAAAGAACCAGGAAAGCUGCAAAAUUAAGAUGAAAGUGGUACAGAAAGUGAAAGAUAUGGAAUCCAAGUGAUUACAUUUUGCACAGCAGAGGUCAAGGGCUCUCCGUAUCCUGUCUGCAUAUGACACAGUCUCUUCUGUGACACUACGUCAGCUUGGAUCUUCUCUCGACUCCGGGCCGCUUAAGGAUCGUACUUGCUCUCUCAAGAAGGUGGCCCUCACAAUCGGACUGGUGGUUUAGGUAUAUCGAUCCACAAUCCCGAAGGGCACAUGUUAGAAGGUGCAGUUGGACGAAUGUUUAUUAUGGCGAGCACCGUUCAGGAAGGCAAAGAAUAGUUCGGAUGCAGAAACCAAAGCCGGCAAUAAUUCUGUUGUUCAACCCACGGAAAAAUCAUCUGCUGCAGUGCAGGGCUUGCAGGCCUUGUUAUAGUGUCCCCAUUCGGAAACGUCUAUAGGACUGUCCUUGAACAAGAAUUGA
Molecule: long non-coding RNA, 809 nt
Organism: Daucus carota subsp. sativus
Lineage: Eukaryota; Viridiplantae; Streptophyta; Magnoliopsida; Apiales; Apiaceae
Exons: 5
Source: RefSeq, a predicted model, not a curated record